CAAAGAGUAGUUUAGCUCAAGAAUCUUAGCUUUGGGAGUUAUGGGUGGGAGUUAAAAUCUCCUCUCUUUGA
Molecule: transfer RNA, 71 nt
Filed under: Epigonus denticulatus (pencil cardinal)
Lineage: Eukaryota; Metazoa; Chordata; Actinopteri; Acropomatiformes; Epigonidae
Description: tRNA-Pro
Rfam family: tRNA
About the family: Transfer RNA (tRNA) molecules are approximately 80 nucleotides in length. Their secondary structure includes four short double-helical elements and three loops (D, anti-codon, and T loops).
Source: RNAcentral